This 406-nucleotide ribosomal RNA is filed under the name uncultured bacterium. RNAcentral's name for it is "partial 16S ribosomal RNA". It matches the Rfam family "Bacterial small subunit ribosomal RNA", at positions 30 to 526 of the family's 1533-position model. The record is from RNAcentral.
AUUGAACGCUGGCGGCAGGCCUAACACAUGCAAGUCGAGCGAGCGGCGGACGGGUGAGUAAUGUCUGGGAAACUGCCUGAUGGAGGGGGAUAACUAUUGGAAACGGUAUCUAAUACCGCAUAUCCUAUGAUGUGCCCAGAUGGGAUUAGCGAGUAGGGGGGGUAAUGGCGCACCUAGGCGACGCUCCCUAGCUGGUCUGAGAGGAUGACCAGCCACACGGGAACUGAGACACGGUCCAGACUCCUACGGGAGGCAGCAGUGGGGAAUAUUGCACAAUGGGCGCAAGCCUGAUGCAGCCAUGCCGCGUGUAUGAAGAAGGCCUUCGGGUUGUAAAGUACUUUCAGCGAGGAGGCGUUACUCGCAGAAGAAGCACCGGCUAACUCCGUGCCAGCCGCCGCGGUAAUAC